CUGCUAUGCUGUGUUCUUCUUAUCUUUGAAAGUGCUAGCAAUUUUUAUAGCGAUUUUGUGCUAGCAAUUUUUAUAGCGAUUUUGUAGAAGUUGCUCGCACUUAUAAAUAAAAGACGAAGCUCAAGCAAAUCGCUGUAUAAAUAGCGAGCACUUCAAAGAGAAGAAGAGCAGAACGUGGCAG
Molecule: microRNA precursor, 181 nt
Filed under: Picea abies (Norway spruce)
Lineage: Eukaryota; Viridiplantae; Streptophyta; Pinopsida; Pinales; Pinaceae
Description: miR11529a stem-loop (pab-MIR11529a)
Source: miRBase by way of RNAcentral